UACAAUAGGCCGUCAGUGGGACAUCAUAGAGGGUGACAAUCCCGUCCUUGACAUCAAUGUACGAGUCCAUUACGAUGCCUAUCUCAGAGAGUCGAGCAGUUUGGGAUUUGCUGCUUAAACAUGGGAGGUAGAUUCCUUCUAAAGCUAAAUACAGGCAAGAGACCGAUAGAGAACAAGUACCGCAAGGGAAAGAUGAAACAGAACUCUGUGAAGGGAGUCAAAAAGACGUGAAAUUGUUGCGAGAGAAGCGAUUCAAGUCAGCGUAGCUAGGCCCAUCAAGCACCUCGCUUUGGACUGGCUUUGCCAGCGGUCUUGUCCUUUAGAGACUUGACUAACGUGCCCUGCCCGGUCUGACGGGCAGACCCCUCCUCUGGGGCCAGUGGCAUGGCUGGUGGAAUGGCUUGCAAUCGACCCGUCUUGAAACACGGACCAAGGAGUCUAACAUGUGUGCGAGUAUAAGGGUGGCAAACCCGUAUGCGCAAAGAAAGUGAUAGCCUCUGGCUGAGAAUGGCCUGAUGACCAGACAAGCAAUAUAUGUUCCUCGUACGGUCAUUGCCCAAGUCCUGUGGUCAGAUCCCAUGGACAUGGAGUUAGAGCAUACAUGCUAGGACCCGAAAGAUGGUGAACUAUGCCUGGACAAAGCGAAGCCAAAGGAAACUCUGGUGGAGGCUUGUAGCGAUUCUGACGUGCAAAUCGAUCGU
Molecule: ribosomal RNA, 701 nt
Filed under: Cantharellus sp. BRI AQ 796038
Lineage: Eukaryota; Fungi; Basidiomycota; Agaricomycetes; Cantharellales; Hydnaceae
Description: LSU rRNA
Rfam family: Eukaryotic large subunit ribosomal RNA
Source: RNAcentral